CCUACGGGUGGCAGCAGUGAGGAAUAUUGGUCAAUGGACGAGAGUCUGAACCAGCCAAGUAGCGUGAAGGAUGACUGCCCUAUGGGUUGUAAACUUCUUUUAUAUGGGAAUAAAAUGUUCCACGUGUGGGAUUUUGUAUGUACCAUAUGAAUAAGGAUCGGCUAACUCCGUGCCAGCAGCCGCGGUAAUACGGAGGAUCCGAGCGUUAUCCGGAUUUAUUGGGUUUAAAGGGAGCGUAGGUGGAUUGUUAAGUCAGUUGUGAAAGUUUGCGGCUCAACCGUAAAAUUGCAGUUGAAACUGGCAGUCUUGAGUACAGUAGAGGUGGGCGGAAUUCGUGGUGUAGCGGUGAAAUGCUUAGAUAUCACGAAGAACUCCGAUUGCGAAGGCAGUUCACUGGACUGCAACUGACACUGAGGCUCGAAAGUGUGGGUAUCAAACAGUAUUAGAUACCCUUGUAGUC
Molecule: ribosomal RNA, 460 nt
Filed under: uncultured bacterium
Lineage: Bacteria
Description: partial 16S ribosomal RNA
Rfam family: Bacterial small subunit ribosomal RNA
Source: RNAcentral